GAUGAACGCUGGCGGCGUGCCUAAUACAUGCAAGUCGAGCGAACGGACGAGAAGCUUGCUUCUCUGAUGUUAGCGGCGGACGGGUGAGUAACACGUGGAUAACCUACCUAUAAGACUGGGAUAACUUCGGGAAACCGGAGCUAAUACCGGAUAAUAUUUUGAACCGCAUGGUUCAAAAGUGAAAGACGGUCUUGCUGUCACUUAUAGAUGGAUCCGCGCUGCAUUAGCUAGUUGGUAAGGUAACGGCUUACCAAGGCAACGAUGCAUAGCCGACCUGAGAGGGUGAUCGGCCACACUGGAACUGAGACACGGUCCAGACUCCUACGGGAGGCAGCAGUAGGGAAUCUUCCGCAAUGGGCGAAAGCCUGACGGAGCAACGCCGCGUGAGUGAUGAAGGUCUUCGGAUCGUAAAACUCUGUUAUUAGGGAAGAACAUAUGUGUAAGUAACUGUGCACAUCUUGACGGUACCUAAUCAGAAAGCCACGGCUAACUACGUGCCAGCAGCCGCGGUAAUACGUAGGUGGCAAGCGUUAUCCGGAAUUAUUGGGCGUAAAGCGCGCGUAGGCGGUUUUUUAAGUCUGAUGUGAAAGCCCACGGCUCAACCGUGGAGGGUCAUUGGAAACUGGAAAACUUGAGUGCAGAAGAGGAAAGUGGAAUUCCAUGUGUAGCGGUGAAAUGCGCAGAGAUAUGGAGGAACACCAGUGGCGAAGGCGACUUUCUGGUCUGUAACUGACGCUGAUGUGCGAAAGCGUGGGGAUCAAACAGGAUUAGAUACCCUGGUAGUCCACGCCGUAAACGAUGAGUGCUAAGUGUUAGGGGGUUUCCGCCCCUUAGUGCUGCAGCUAACGCAUUAAGCACUCCGCCUGGGGAGUACGACCGCAAGGUUGAAACUCAAAGGAAUUGACGGAGACCCGCACAAGCGGUGGAGCAUGUGGUUUAAUUCGAAGCAACGCGUAGAACCUUACCAAAUCUUGACAUCCUUUGACAACUCUAGAGAUAGAGCUUUCCCCUUCGGGGGACAAAGUGACAGGUGGUGCAUGGUUGUCGUCAGCUCGUGUCGUGAGAUGUUGGGUUAAGUCCCGCAACGAGCGCAACCCUUAAGCUUAGUUGCCAUCAUUAAGUUGGGCACUCUAAGUUGACUGCCGGUGACAAACCGGAGGAAGGUGGGGAUGACGUCAAAUCAUCAUGCCCCUUAUGAUUUGGGCUACACACGUGCUACAAUGGACAAUACAAAGGGCAGCGAAACCGCGAGGUCAAGCAAAUCCCAUAAAGUUGUUCUCAGUUCGGAUUGUAGUCUGCAACUCGACUACAUGAAGCUGGAAUCGCUAGUAAUCGUAGAUCAGCAUGCUACGGUGAAUACGUUCCCGGGUCU
This 1372-nucleotide ribosomal RNA is filed under the name uncultured bacterium. Its description in RNAcentral is "bacterial SSU rRNA". It matches the Rfam family "Bacterial small subunit ribosomal RNA", at positions 28 to 1381 of the family's 1533-position model. The record is from RNAcentral.